Pseudophryne corroboree (corroboree frog) is the source of this 70-nucleotide small nucleolar RNA. Lineage: Eukaryota; Metazoa; Chordata; Amphibia; Anura; Myobatrachidae. The record is from RefSeq and is a predicted model, not a curated record.
CUGGAAGUGAUGCAGAUUGUCCAUACGUGAUGUACAGUGAUCGCUUUUGUAUUCAUACUGUCUGAUCCAG